RNAcentral lists this ribosomal RNA (261 nucleotides) under uncultured prokaryote. Its description in RNAcentral is "partial 16S ribosomal RNA". It matches the Rfam family "Bacterial small subunit ribosomal RNA", at positions 524 to 784 of the family's 1533-position model. The record is from RNAcentral.
UACGUAGGUGGCAAGCGUUAUCCGGAAUUAUUGGGCGUAAAGAGCGCGCAGGUGGUUGAUUAAGUCUGAUGUGAAAGCCCACGGCUUAACCGUGGAGGGUCAUUGGAAACUGGUCGACUUGAGUGCAGAAGAGGGAAGUGGAAUUCCAUGUGUAGCGGUGAAAUGCGUAGAGAUAUGGAGGAACACCAGUAGCGAAGGCGGCUUCCUGGUCUGUAACUGACACUGAGGCGCGAAAGCGUGGGGAGCAAACAGGAUUAGAUA